Molecule: unclassified non-coding RNA, 254 nt
Filed under: Cladorrhinum flexuosum
Lineage: Eukaryota; Fungi; Ascomycota; Sordariomycetes; Sordariales; Podosporaceae
Description: partial internal transcribed spacer region
Rfam family: Eukaryotic small subunit ribosomal RNA (bases 1-46)
Source: RNAcentral
AAGUCGUAACAAGGUCUCCGUUGGUGAACCAGCGGAGGGAUCAUUACAGAGUUGCAAAACUCCCUAAACCAUUGUGAACCUUUACCACUAAACAGUUGCUUCGGCGGGUGGCGCGAGGGCUCCCCUUCACGGGGGGUGCCGGAGCGCCCUAGAAAGCCCGCCGGAGGUACCCAAACUCUUUGUUUUAAUUAAGGCCUCUCUGAGUAUUGUACUUAAAUAAGUCAAAACUUUCAACAACGGAUCUCUUGGUUCUG